UGGCUCAGCGGUAGAGCGCUUGCCUCACAUGCAUGAAGCCUUGGGUUCAAUUCCUCA
RNAcentral lists this transfer RNA (57 nucleotides) under Dipodomys ordii (Ord's kangaroo rat). It matches the Rfam family "tRNA", at positions 8 to 63 of the family's 71-position model. Rfam says of the family: Transfer RNA (tRNA) molecules are approximately 80 nucleotides in length. The record is from Rfam by way of RNAcentral. Lineage: Eukaryota; Metazoa; Chordata; Mammalia; Rodentia; Heteromyidae.